CCCUUAGAUGUUCUGGGCUGCACGCGCGCUACAAUGGCGUUUUCAAAAAGAUUGCUAAUCCGAAAGGACCAGCGGAUCUUCGAAGUGGCGUCGUGAUCGGGACAGUUGAUUGCAAUUAUUCGACUCGAACGAGGAAUUCCUUGUAAUCGUGCGUCAUCAGCGCACGCUGAAUACGUCCCUGUUCUUUGUACACACCGCCCGUCGCUCCUACCGAUCGAGCGAUCCAAUGAAUGUUUCGGAGCGGAACUGAGAUGCUAAUGCGUCUCUUUUACGCGAAUUUGUGUGAAUUUGAUCGCUGAGAGGAAGGAGAAGUCGUAACA
This 320-nucleotide ribosomal RNA is filed under the name uncultured eukaryote. RNAcentral's name for it is "partial 18S ribosomal RNA". It matches the Rfam family "Eukaryotic small subunit ribosomal RNA", at positions 1470 to 1796 of the family's 1831-position model. The record is from RNAcentral.